RNAcentral lists this ribosomal RNA (497 nucleotides) under uncultured bacterium. Its description in RNAcentral is "partial 16S ribosomal RNA". It matches the Rfam family "Bacterial small subunit ribosomal RNA", at positions 28 to 523 of the family's 1533-position model. The record is from RNAcentral.
GAUGAACGCUGGCGGCGUGCUUAACACAUGCAAGUCGAACGAAGCAUUUACGACAGGUUUCUUCGGAUUGAAGUUGUUUAUGACUGAGUGGCGGACGGGUGAGUAACGCGUGGGUAACCUGCCUUGUACUGGGGGAUAGUAGCUGGAAACGGCUGGUAAUACCGCAUAAGCGCACGGUGCUGCAUGGCACAGGGUGAAAAACUCCGGUGGUAUAAGAUGGACCCGCGUCUGAUUAGCUAGUUGGUGAGAUAACAGCCCACCAAGGCGACGAUCAGUAGCCGACCUGAGAGGGUGACCGGCCACAUUGGGACUGAGACACGGCCCAGACUCCUACGGGAGGCAGCAGUGGGGAAUAUUGCACAAUGGAGGAAACUCUGAUGCAGCGACGCCGCGUGAGUGAAGAAGUAAUUCGUUAUGUAAAGCUCUAUCAGCAGGGAAGAUAGUGACGGUACCUGACUAAGAAGCUCCGGCUAAAUACGUGCCAGCCGCCGCGGUAA